Small nuclear RNA from Perognathus longimembris pacificus (Pacific pocket mouse), 108 nucleotides. The record is from RefSeq and is a predicted model, not a curated record. NCBI's taxonomy places the organism in Eukaryota, Metazoa, Chordata, Mammalia, Rodentia, Heteromyidae.
GGGCUCACAUUGGCAGCACAUAUACUAAAAUUGGAACGAUACAGAGAAGCUUAGCACAGCCCCUGCACAGGGAUGACACGCAUAAUGUACUAGGUGAAUAUCCUUUGG